Molecule: ribosomal RNA, 440 nt
Filed under: Micruropus laeviusculus
Lineage: Eukaryota; Metazoa; Arthropoda; Malacostraca; Amphipoda; Micruropodidae
Description: bacterial SSU rRNA
Rfam family: Eukaryotic small subunit ribosomal RNA
Source: RNAcentral
CCAAAUGGGCCAGUGCAAAUCCUACUUGGAUAACUGUGGUAAUUCCAGAGCUAAUACAUGCAACUGAUAUCCCGAAGGCGGUGUUCGUGCUUGCUUGUCUUGCGCUUGCAUUGCUCUGACGGAUGCUUUUAUUAGACCAAACCGCUGAGGACUUGAGGGUUCGCGCUCUCUUGUUUGACUCGUGUGAUGGUGACUCUGGAUAACCAUUCUGACAAGCGCACGUACUUCUCUUCUGAGCGAGACGGCGCUGCCACUUUCGAGUGUCUGCCUUAUCAGCUAUCAACCGUUCGUUAUGCGCGACCGAUGGCUUUGACGGGUAACGGGGAAUCAGGGUUCGAUUCCGGAGAGGCAGCCUGAGAGACGGCUACCACGUCCAAGGACGGCAGCAGGCACGCAAAUUACCCAAUCCCAGCAAAUGGGGGAGGUAGUGACGAAAUCUA